Molecule: unclassified non-coding RNA, 351 nt
Filed under: soil metagenome
Description: partial contains 5.8S ribosomal RNA, internal transcribed spacer 2, and large subunit ribosomal RNA
Rfam family: 5.8S ribosomal RNA (bases 1-120)
Source: RNAcentral
GAUGAAGAACGUAUCGAAAUGCGAUAAGUAGUGUGAAUUGCAGAAUUCCGUGAAUCAUUGAAUCUUUGAACGCACAUUGCGCCUCCUGGUAAUCCGUGAGGCAUGCCUGUCCGAGCGUCAGUAAAAAGCAACUCGGCCGCGGCUGGCGGUUGGUGAUGGAGGAAGAGCACGUCUCGUUGUCGGUCUCCCCUCCCAAAAUCAACGGCGGAAUGUCACUGGCACUCGGUGUUGUAGUAUUAUUCGCCGAUCACCCAUUGUUGUUCCUGCCGCCCAAACCCCCACAAUUCUCUUGAUUGACCUCGGAUCAGGUAGGGAUACCCGCUGAACUUAAGCAUAUCAAUAAGCGGAGGA